Molecule: ribosomal RNA, 473 nt
Filed under: uncultured bacterium
Lineage: Bacteria
Description: bacterial SSU rRNA
Rfam family: Bacterial small subunit ribosomal RNA
Source: RNAcentral
GCAGGCUUAACACAUGCAAGUCGAGGGGCAGCGCGAGGUAGCAAUACUUUGGCGGCGACCGGCGGAAGGGUGCGUAACGCGUGAGCAACAUGCCCGUAUGAGGGGGAUAGUCAUUGGAAACGAUGCGUAAUACCCCGUAACAUUGGAGGCCGCAUGACCACCAAUUGAAAGAUUCAUCGCAUACGGAUUGGCUCGCGUGACAUUAGCUGGUUGGCGGGGUAACGGCCCACCAAGGCGACGAUGUCUAGGGGAACUGAGAGGUUGGUCCCCACACUGGAACUGAGACACGGUCCAGACUCCUACGGGAGGCAGCAGUGAGGAAUAUUGGUCAAUGGGCGGAAGCCUGAACCAGCCAUGCCGCGUGAAGGAAUAAGGCCCUAUGGGUCGUAAACUUCUUUUGACGGGGAGCAAUAAGGGCGUCGAGCACGCUCGAUGAGAGUACUCGUCGAAUAAGCAUCGGCUAACUCCGUGCC